This 566-nucleotide small RNA is filed under the name Pongo abelii (Sumatran orangutan). RNAcentral's name for it is "processed transcript". The record is from RNAcentral. Lineage: Eukaryota; Metazoa; Chordata; Mammalia; Primates; Hominidae.
GAAGAAAAGCAAGAGUAAGUGCUGAAAACGAAAAGGAAACCAGCAGCAGUCCCAGCUACCACAACGGAUCAGCCCCCAUUUGGCCAACAGGUGACUCUACCCCAGGUCGGCCUGAGAGGACCCAUCCCCCAUCUCACCAUUCUGCCCCAGUGACCUGGAUCCUGCCUUUACCACUUCUUCCCUGCAGCGUCUUCGGUUCCCCCACCGCUGUGGGCCAGGUUCCCCCUCCAGGCUGCUGGGCUGGGACUGAGUCACUUCUUCCCAGGCUGUAAAUCCUGGGACUGCUGUGCAAGGCAGAGUCACUAGGGACGGACUCAGGCAGCAGAGCCGCGUUCUCAUGCCCCAGCCAGCCAGGCUCUCCUGGGAUCUGGGCUGGAAGGGGCUGCCGAGACCAUCAGUCAAAUCUUUGGUCUACAGGUGGGGAAACUGAGGCUCAAGGAAGGCUCUGCGUCCUGCUUUGUGUAAGGAGAGAGCUGGGCAGUGAGGCCGAGGGUCCUUCCUGGGCUCACAGUCCAAGUCGCAAGGAAUCACAUCAUUUCCAAGUACCCAUGGCAGAAGAGGGAGCC